RNAcentral lists this ribosomal RNA (1431 nucleotides) under uncultured bacterium. RNAcentral describes it as "bacterial SSU rRNA". It matches the Rfam family "Bacterial small subunit ribosomal RNA". The record is from RNAcentral.
GUUUGAUCCUGGCUCAGGAUGAACGCCGGCGGUGUGCCUAAUACAUGCAAGUCGUACGCACUGGCCCAACUGAUUGAUGGUGCUUGCACCUGAUUGACGUUGGAUCACCAGUGAGUGGCGGACGGGUGAGUAACACGUAGGUAACCUGCCCCGGAGCGGGGGAUAACAUUUGGAAACAGAUGCUAAUACCGCAUAACAACAAAAGCCACAUGGCUUUUGUUUGAAAGAUGGCUUUGGCUAUCACCCUGGGAUGGACCUGCGGUGCAUUAGCUAGUUGGUAAGGUAACGGCUUACCAAGGCGAUGAUGCAUAGCCGAGUUGAGAGACUGAUCGGCCACAAUGGAACUGAGACACGGUCCAUACUCCUACGGGAGGCAGCAGUAGGGAAUCUUCCACAAUGGGCGCAAGCCUGAUGGAGCAACACCGCGUGAGUGAAGAAGGGUUUCGGCUCGUAAAGCUCUGUUGUUGGAGAAGAACGUGCGUGAGAGUAACUGUUCACGCAGUGACGGUAUCCAACCAGAAAGUCACGGCUAACUACGUGCCAGCAGCCGCGGUAAUACGUAGGUGGCAAGCGUUAUCCGGAUUUAUUGGGCGUAAAGCGAGCGCAGGCGGUUGCUUAGGUCUGAUGUGAAAGCCUUCGGCUUAACCGAAGAAGUGCAUCGGAAACCGGGCGACUUGAGUGCAGAAGAGGACAGUGGAACUCCAUGUGUAGCGGUGGAAUGCGUAGAUAUAUGGAAGAACACCAGUGGCGAAGGCGGCUGUCUGGUCUGCAACUGACGCUGAGGCUCGAAAGCAUGGGUAGCGAACAGGAUUAGAUACCCUGGUAGUCCAUGCCGUAAACGAUGAGUGCUAGGUGUUGGAGGGUUUCCGCCCUUCAGUGCCGGAGCUAACGCAUUAAGCACUCCGCCUGGGGAGUACGACCGCAAGGUUGAAACUCAAAGGAAUUGACGGGGGCCCGCACAAGCGGUGGAGCAUGUGGUUUAAUUCGAAGCUACGCGAAGAACCUUACCAGGUCUUGACAUCUUGCGCUAACCUUAGAGAUAAGGCGUUCCCUUCGGGGACGCAAUGACAGGUGGUGCAUGGUCGUCGUCAGCUCGUGUCGUGAGAUGUUGGGUUAAGUCCCGCAACGAGCGCAACCCUUGUUACUAGUUGCCAGCAUUAAGUUGGGCACUCUAGUGAGACUGCCGGUGACAAACCGGAGGAAGGUGGGGACGACGUCAGAUCAUCAUGCCCCUUAUGACCUGGGCUACAUACGUGCUACAAUGGACGGUACAACGAGUCGCAAGCUCGCGAGAGUAAGCUAAUCUCUUAAAGCCGUUCUCAGUUCGGACUGUAGGCUGCAACUCGCCUACACGAAGUCGGAAUCGCUAGUAAUCGCGGAUCAGCAUGCCGCGGUGAAUACGUUCCCGGGCCUUGUACACACCGCCCGUCA